Molecule: long non-coding RNA, 984 nt
Organism: Pyrus x bretschneideri (Chinese white pear)
Lineage: Eukaryota; Viridiplantae; Streptophyta; Magnoliopsida; Rosales; Rosaceae
Exons: 3
Source: RefSeq, a predicted model, not a curated record
UUCUCCUAUUCUCCUUCAUUUCUCUUUCAUUUCCCCCUUCUUCUUUUCGGCAUCUCUUUCUUCUUUUCUCCCAUUUCUUCUUUUCACUUCAUCUUCUUACCAUGCUCUUUUUAUCCACUUCAUCCAGUUCCUCCAUCACUCUCCCCAUGACAGUCGUCGAUCUCAUCUCCCUGUCUUCUCUCUCUAGUACGACAACACAUGAUUUAUGCCAAACACCAGAAAUGUCUCGCUUUCCUGCUCCUGUUUUCUAUUGUGUGUAAGGGGUUUUGCUUAUCCGAGGUACUUAGUGAGGAAUUUUGUUUCAAUUUUUUCAAGUUAACUAAAAAUUUGUAAUUCCCUAAUUUUAUUAUGGUUUUGUAGUUUUUGUUCAAUUCAAUCUAUUUUUAUGACUAUUUUGCUAAUUAUCAAAUUUCUCAUACAUUAUUCUACUUAAACCACAUUUAUUUUAUCUAUUUUGUUAAUAUUUAGUGAUGUUUUUUGUGACAGCCCGUUCUAGAUUUUCGAACCGUGGGGUGAAAUGACGAUUUUGCCCCUAGCAUGGUUGUUUCGUUGUGUGGUUGUUUUUGGGAUUUUUUGUUGGCAGGUUCUGGGCCACACACACUCCCCCACACCUCCCUCACCCUUUCCCUGCCCUGCACCCCUGUCCCGAGUCCUCUCUCUCCCAUUUCUAUCCAAUACGUACGGACACAAUAAAAAACACGCCAAAUCUUCACAGAUCGAGGAAACAAAGUACAUAUUCAUGCUCGUGAGGUCCAUAGAAGUUCAACCAUACCCAUUUCAGCUUGUAGGAAGCUUGGUGAGGUCCUUAUGAGGCUCGGGGUGGUUCGUUUAAAGGUUUUGGACGUCAGGAUCGUGAGUUAUAAGCUUGGCCAGAGUUGGUGGUGUUUUCCCGUUGUGAUCCCGUGGGUUUUAGUGCUUAAAAGUGGUGAGACCUAUCCGGAGGACGAGCGUGGUCACUCGAGGCAAGGGGGUUACGACCCUUCU